Molecule: ribosomal RNA, 759 nt
Filed under: Hyphomonas sp.
Lineage: Bacteria; Pseudomonadati; Pseudomonadota; Alphaproteobacteria; Hyphomonadales; Hyphomonadaceae
Description: bacterial SSU rRNA
Rfam family: Bacterial small subunit ribosomal RNA
Source: RNAcentral
ACAAUGGGCGAAAGCCUGAUGCAGCCAUGCCGCGUGAAUGAUGAAGGCCUUAGGGUUGUAAAAUUCUUUCGCUAGGGAUGAUAAUGACAGUACCUAGUAAAGAAGCCCCGGCUAACUUCGUGCCAGCAGCCGCGGUAAUACGAAGGGGGCUAGCGUUGUUCGGAAUUACUGGGCGUAAAGCGCACGUANGCGGACUUUUAAGUCAGGUGUGAAAUCCCAGGGCUCAACCCUGGAANUGCAUUUGAAACUGAAAGUCUAGAGACCAGGAGAGGUUAGCGGAAUACCGAGUGUAGAGGUGAAAUUCGUAGAAAUUCGGUGGAACACCAGUGGCGAAGGCGGCUAACUGGACUGGUACUGACGCUGAGGUGCGAAAGUGUGGGGAACAAACAGGAUUAGAUACCCUGGUAGUCCACACCGUAAACGAUGAUAACUAGUUGUUGGCAGGCAUGCCUGUCGGUGACGCACGUAACGCAUUAAGCUCUCCGCCUGGGGAGUACGGCCGCAAGGUUAAAACUCAAAGAAAUUGACGGGGGCCCGCACAAGCGGUGGAGCAUGUGGUUUAAUUCGAACGAACGCGCAGAACCUUACCUACCCUUGACAUGUCCAGUAUGGUUUCCAGAGAUGGAUUCCUUCAGUUAGGCUGGCUGGAACACAGGUGCUGCAUGGCUGUCGUCAGCUCGUGUCGUGACAUGUUGGGUUAAGUCCCGCAACGAGCGCAACCCUCAUCCUUAGUUGCCAUCACGUUUGGGUGGGCACUCU